UAAACGACUCUCUGCGAUAGAUAUCUCGGCUCUUGCAUUCAUGAAGAACGUAGCAAAUACGAUACUUUGUGUGAAUUACAGAAUCCCGUGAAGCAUCGAGUCUUUGAACGCAAGUUGCGCCCGAAGCCAUUAGGCUGAGGACACGUCUGCCUG
Molecule: ribosomal RNA, 153 nt
Filed under: Acaena multifida
Lineage: Eukaryota; Viridiplantae; Streptophyta; Magnoliopsida; Rosales; Rosaceae
Description: 5.8S ribosomal RNA
Rfam family: 5.8S ribosomal RNA
About the family: 5.8S ribosomal RNA (5.8S rRNA) is a component of the large subunit of the eukaryotic ribosome. It is transcribed by RNA polymerase I as part of the 45S precursor that also contains 18S and 28S rRNA. Functionally, it is thought that 5.8S rRNA may be involved in ribosome translocation.
Source: RNAcentral